Molecule: long non-coding RNA, 265 nt
Organism: Tarenaya hassleriana
Lineage: Eukaryota; Viridiplantae; Streptophyta; Magnoliopsida; Brassicales; Cleomaceae
Exons: 2
Source: RefSeq, a predicted model, not a curated record
UCUCUCCCUCCCUCCCUCUCUCAUCUCCUCAAGUCUCAAUCUCUUUCUCUGCUUCUGCUCUAAUGGCAACGGAAAUCUCCAUGAAAGCUUCAAGCUUUGGUUUCAGACAGAAAUUACUCAAAAGUCUCAAAUCUUGAAGAAUUUAGGUUUCUCCAAGGUUACAAGAACAGUUCCUUCUCAUGGGUGUGAAGUUGCGUAUAUGUAUUACAGUUUCUCUCUCUCUCUCCCUCUUCCAUUUCGAAGUAGUUACUUGUUUGCAGCAGCA